This is a long non-coding RNA of Nannospalax galili (Upper Galilee mountains blind mole rat), 390 nucleotides long. RefSeq lists it as uncharacterized. NCBI's taxonomy places the organism in Eukaryota, Metazoa, Chordata, Mammalia, Rodentia, Spalacidae. The transcript is spliced from 3 exons. The record is from RefSeq and is a predicted model, not a curated record.
AAGAUUUCCUAAAUGCUGAGGAAGAAAUGCAGUAAAUGUGUUUCUUAAAGUCUUACCAGCUUCAGUGAGAAGAGAACAGUCAAAUCAUAGAUUGGUUGCUGUCCAGCCCAGCAUUAUAUUUCCUAGCCCUUUUUCUUCUAAGCACGGCCCCAGGAAUGGUUCCUGACAAGAGUAUGUGUACAGAAAUGCCCUGCAGCACAUCCAGACCACCAAGAUUUGGAUGAAGGUAAUGGAAUGCGAAGAAUGCACAGUCACAGCUGGAAGCAUCAUGGCAUGUUCUAGAAACAAGCGCCUGAAUAAUGUGAGAGGGAGACACCUUUAAGUAACUCAGCCCUUUAUUUAUGGACUUUGACUUGUCUUGGACUCACCUUGGUUGGCCAUUUUAUGUCU